RNAcentral lists this long non-coding RNA (288 nucleotides) under Bos taurus (domestic cattle). RNAcentral's name for it is "long non-coding RNA NONBTAT027115". The record is from RNAcentral. Lineage: Eukaryota; Metazoa; Chordata; Mammalia; Artiodactyla; Bovidae.
ACUUGAGUACAUUUUUAAAAACUUUAUUGUUGCUUCUUUGGAUAUUAAAAAUAAGGGCAAAGUUUUUUUAACCAAAUGAAAAAAGGAGGGCCCUCGUCAAUCAUUCUCAACCACGAAAUCUCAGUUCCAGGGUACCACGGCCCCUGCACUGGACUCUUUUCCUUUUGUUAAACAGACACAGACCUAUGAGACCAAAGUCAUAGGAACAGAGUUGGAGCCGCCAGAAUAAUGUCAACAAUCAUGGAUGUUCCUAAAGGAAACGGAUGACUACAGGAACCACGGAUCCCG